Molecule: long non-coding RNA, 505 nt
Organism: Humulus lupulus (European hop)
Lineage: Eukaryota; Viridiplantae; Streptophyta; Magnoliopsida; Rosales; Cannabaceae
Exons: 3
Source: RefSeq, a predicted model, not a curated record
CUUAGUUAGGUGUAUUUGUUUCUCUCGCUGAUUCCUGGGAUUUGAAUGCUCUUGCCAUUUCAUGGUUAAAGAAUUGUUGUAUUGUUUGAGAGGAUGGCAAGUUGAUUAUGGAGAACAAAACACAGCAAGUUCAAAUGUGUCAUUUCGGGUGAGAAACUAGAAGAAAAAUAGGACUGCAAUGAGAUUCAACAAGUGAACUGCAAAAGAAAAUAUGAUUUGGAGGGCUUUGGUGUGCUGAUAUUUGAAAGAUCAUGAAUUCCUACCUUUACUUUUGAAUAUGCAACUGUUUAAGACUAUUUUGUUGACUAUUGUGAGAAUAUUUUGUUUAUGUUAAUUAGGCAGUGUUGAAUAUCUUAAGACUUUUGGAUUGUUUUUAAGAUAAUCUUGAAUGUAUUUUGACACAAUUAUUUGGUUAUAUGUGUUAUGAACCAUAUAAUUGGUACUCAAAAAUAUAUUUGUACAAUGUUAAGGGUGUCUUAAGUAUAUUAAAUGAAGCGGGUUUGAA